CGGAAGGGUGCAAGCGUUACUCGGAAUUACUGGGCGUAAAGCGUGCGUAGGUGGUUCGUUAAGUCUGCCGGUGAAAGCCCCGGGCUCAACCUAGGAAUGGCGGUGGAUACUGGCGGACUAGAGUGCGGUAGAGGGUGGUGGAAUUCCCGGUGUAGCAGUGAAAUGCGUAGAGAUCGGGAGGAACAUCUGUGGCGAAGGCGGCCACCUGGACCAGCACUGACACUGAGGCAUGAAAAGCGUGGGGAGCAAACAGGAUUAGAUACCCUGGUAGUCCACGCCCUAAACGAUGCGAACUGGACGUUGGGAGGUCAACUAGGCUCUCAGUGUCGAAGCUAACGCGUUAAGUUCGCCGCCUGGGGAGUACGGUCGCAAGACUG
Molecule: ribosomal RNA, 377 nt
Filed under: uncultured organism
Description: bacterial SSU rRNA
Rfam family: Bacterial small subunit ribosomal RNA
Source: RNAcentral